GACGAACGCUGGCGGCGUGCUUAACACAUGCAAGUCGAACGAUGAAGCUGGAGCUUGCUCCGGUGGAUUAGUGGCGAACGGGUGAGUAACACGUGAGCAAUCUGCCCUUGACUCUGGGAUAACUGCGGGAAACUGUAGCUAAUACCGGAUAUGAGGCUUGGAGGCAUCUCCAGGUCUGGAAAGAAUUUCGGUCAAGGAUGAGCUCGCGGCCUAUCAGCUAGUUGGUGAGGUAAUGGCUCACCAAGGCGACGACGGGUAGCCGGCCUGGGAGGGUAACCGGCCACACUGGGACUGAGACACGGCCCAGACUCCUACGGGAGGCAGCAGUGGGGAAUAUUGCACAAUGGGCGAAAGCCUGAUGCAGCAACGCCGCGUGAGGGAUGAAGGCCUUCGGGUUGUAAACCUCUUUUAGCAGGGAAGAAGCGAAAGUGACGGUACCUGCAGAAAAAGCACCGGCUAACUACGUGCCAGCAGCCGCGGUAA
This 483-nucleotide ribosomal RNA is filed under the name uncultured bacterium. RNAcentral describes it as "partial 16S ribosomal RNA". It matches the Rfam family "Bacterial small subunit ribosomal RNA", at positions 28 to 523 of the family's 1533-position model. The record is from RNAcentral.